Actinia tenebrosa (Australian red waratah sea anemone) is the source of this 1232-nucleotide long non-coding RNA. The record is from RefSeq and is a predicted model, not a curated record. NCBI's taxonomy places the organism in Eukaryota, Metazoa, Cnidaria, Anthozoa, Actiniaria, Actiniidae.
CAUUGGAACCUGUGGUUAACUUUAGCUUGCGCUUGCAGACAAUUACCAUGACCAGUUGGUAAAAAAGAGUCACGUCUUAACGAUCACUGCGACACGAUAAACAAUAAAAUAAGACUUCAUAUACAUGUAUGUGUACAUGAUAAGGGUGUUGGUCCAUGCAGUAACGAAUCAAAACAUCCAUCCAGGUUCUUUAAUGUUAAAAGGUAUCCCCUUUACUUAAAGGACUGGACCGUUCAGAACUAAAUCCAGCUUGCUAACAACAGUAAAACCAAUGUUAUAUCUCGCCCCUGCAUGAGUAAAAAGAUUGAGGCAUGGCGGAUCAACGUAAAGACGAAUGCUUUAUAUAUAGACAACGAGUAUUUGUUGAUCAACAAAGUCAUGAGUCAUUUAUCUGAAUUCUAAACUGACCACAUUUAUGGCUUGACACCGAGCAGACAUCCAAGGGCCGAAGAAAACGUGGAGAAGUUCUCGAUACGAGGGGAAAAUAUAAAGAGAUUAAAGAUGAUAAUGAAAGCUGAAUUCUUUGUGGUUUUUUCGGCGGUGUUGCUGUUUUGUGCAGCAGGUGGAAAAGCAAUAGUUACAGGUGGGUUUUGUCAUAACUGUGCUAAUGAUCUGGAGCUCAAAGAUGAUUGGCCUUUGUGCACUGAGAAAGAAAACGCAGGAAAUCCUCUGUGUGAGACGCGUGCGAGCAGUGAGCCCGCGAUUACACGAAGGGACUCGGUCAUAUCACUGGAUACACUGUACAAAGGAAACUAUGGAUACGAGAAAAAUAACAUGGGAAGCAAAAACAUUUUUUUCUAACAGUCUUAUUCCAACGUACGCUGGUACACUGUCGCACUUCAAUGUACUCACUGAAAACGUAAAUUCUACCGACGCUUUAAAAUAUCUGCCCUGGCGUGGCGGAUUGAUGAGUAUUUAAAAGAUCGAAAACCCAAGCAAGAGGGAAUAAUACAACCUCGUUCCCAGGGCCUUCUCUUCUCGUUUUUUUUUUCAAGAUGGCGGCGCUCGAAGGGAAAAAUCUUCGAGCGCCGCCAUCUUGAAAAAAAGCGAGGAAAGAAGACCCUGGUAACGAGGUUGGGAAUAGUUAAAGAAACAUAAUCUUGGAUUUUAUUAAUAUGGUAUUAUCCAUUUAUUAACAACGGGAUUUUUUGAUCAUUUAAUUUACUAAAUCAAAAGUGUGGAAUCAUAAGUGAGUAAGGGGUAGCAUUUCUAAUAAACAUUUUUAGAACGGA